This 165-nucleotide ribosomal RNA is filed under the name Strobilanthes attenuata. RNAcentral's name for it is "5.8S ribosomal RNA". It matches the Rfam family "5.8S ribosomal RNA". Rfam says of the family: 5.8S ribosomal RNA (5.8S rRNA) is a component of the large subunit of the eukaryotic ribosome. It is transcribed by RNA polymerase I as part of the 45S precursor that also contains 18S and 28S rRNA. Functionally, it is thought that 5.8S rRNA may be involved in ribosome translocation. Lineage: Eukaryota; Viridiplantae; Streptophyta; Magnoliopsida; Lamiales; Acanthaceae. The record is from RNAcentral.
AAACGACCCUCGGCAACGGAUAUCUCGGCUCUCGCAUCGAUGAAGAACGUAGCGAAAUGCGAUACUUGGUGUGAAUUGCAGAAUCCCGUGAACCAUCGAGUCUUUGAACGCAAGUUGCGCCCGAAGCCUUUGGGCCGAGGGCACGCCUGCCUUGGGCGUCACGCA